Molecule: small nuclear RNA, 109 nt
Filed under: Aotus nancymaae (Ma's night monkey)
Lineage: Eukaryota; Metazoa; Chordata; Mammalia; Primates; Aotidae
Source: RNAcentral
GUGCUUGCCUUGGCAGCACAUAUACUAAAAUUGGAAUGAUACCGAGAAGAUUAGCAUGGCCCCUGCGCAAAGUAUGGUAUUUAUUUAACGACAAAUUUGAUAUGCCCAA